CCUACGGGCGACAGCAGUGAGGAAUAUUGGUCAAUGGACGAGAGUCUGAACCAGCCAAGUAGCGUGAAGGAUGACUGCCCUAUGGGUUGUAAACUUCUUUUAUAUGGGAAUAAAAUGUUCCACGUGUGGGAUUUUGUAUGUACCAUAUGAAUAAGGAUCGGCUAACUCCGUGCCAGCAGCCGCGGUAAUACGGAGGAUCCGAGCGUUAUCCGGAUUUAUUGGGUUUAAAGGGAGCGUAGGUGGAUUGUUAAGUCAGUUGUGAAAGUUUGCGGCUCAACCGUAAAAUUGCAGUUGAAACUGGCAGUCUUGAGUACAGUAGAGGUGGGCGGAAUUCGUGGUGUAGCGGUGAAAUGCUUAGAUAUCACGAAGAACUCCGAUUGUGAAGGCAGUUCACUGGACUGCAACUGACACUGAGGCUCGAAAGUGUGGGUAUCAAACAGGAUUAGAUACCCGUGUAGUC
This 460-nucleotide ribosomal RNA is filed under the name uncultured bacterium. RNAcentral's name for it is "partial 16S ribosomal RNA". It matches the Rfam family "Bacterial small subunit ribosomal RNA", at positions 338 to 795 of the family's 1533-position model. The record is from RNAcentral.